UACGGGGGGGGCAAGCGUUGUUCGGAAUUACUGGGCGUAAAGGGCUCGUAGGCGGCCAACUAAGUCAUACGUGAAAUCCCUCGGCUUAACCGGGGAACUGCGUCUGAUACUGGAUGGCUUGAGUUCGGGAGAGGCUCGCGGAAUUCCAGGUGUAGCGGUGAAAUGCGUAGAUAUCUGGAGGAACACCGGUGGCGAAGGCGGCAUCCUGGACCAACACUGACGCUGAGGAGCGAAAGCCAGGGGAGCAAACGGG
Molecule: ribosomal RNA, 253 nt
Filed under: uncultured bacterium
Lineage: Bacteria
Description: partial 16S ribosomal RNA
Rfam family: Bacterial small subunit ribosomal RNA
Source: RNAcentral